This 711-nucleotide ribosomal RNA is filed under the name Triticum aestivum (bread wheat). Its description in RNAcentral is "partial small subunit ribosomal RNA". Lineage: Eukaryota; Viridiplantae; Streptophyta; Magnoliopsida; Poales; Poaceae. The record is from RNAcentral.
AUGGAUCCUUCGGCAGGCACCUCUGGUGAGAAUGAGGGGAGUAAGAAGGUUAAGAAGAAGAUCAAGAAGAAAGGCAAUCUAUGUGGCUUUAAGUCAAGGUUUAACUCAAAAAGGCUGGCUGAGAUUGGGAAGCAAGUAUCACCGGAAAAACGGAGAAUCAUAAGGCAGGGACCGUUUGGAGACUUGUUGGACAUCCGGUCUUUCAAGGUGCCCCAUGAGCUCAUUGAGUUUGUUGUGAUGAACACGAAUCACAUAAUCUCUGAGUUCAAACACAAGAACAAGUCCAUCACCUUCAGCAAGCUCAUGGUGAAAAGGAUUUUCAACGUGCCAUACGGUGAUAGACCCGUGAAGCUUCUUAAGAAGAGUGAUGAACAUGAUCUUCGCAGCAUCUACAAGGAGGGGAACAUGGCUCCAAUCGCCCAUGUUGUCAAGUUGCUCACUAGUUGCAGCGAUGAGGACGUGGUUAUGAUAAAUAGGACUUGGACACUCCUUGCGUUGGCAACAGUUUUGUGCCCAGGCACUGGCAAUAUGGUGAAUCUCAAGUAUCUAGCUUCCUUGGAAGAUAUGUCUUUGGUGCAUGAAUUCGCUUGGGAUGAGCACUUGUUGGCACGAGCGAUGGAGGAGGUUGGAGUCUUUCAAGAGAAGAAGAGGAUGAAGGAAAUAUGCCCUAGAGGCAAUAAUAAAGUUAUUAUUUAUUUCCUUAUAUCAUGA